Molecule: ribosomal RNA, 507 nt
Filed under: uncultured bacterium
Lineage: Bacteria
Description: partial 16S ribosomal RNA
Rfam family: Bacterial small subunit ribosomal RNA
Source: RNAcentral
GACGAACGCUGGCGGCGUGCUUAACACAUGCAAGUCGAACGGGCCUUGUCCCCUUUUUUUUGGGGGUGGGGUUAGUGGCGAACGGGUGAGUAACACGUGAGUAACCUGCCCCUCACUUCUGGAUAACCGCUUGAAAGGGUGGCUAAUACGGGGUGUUCUGGCCUGCUCGCAUGGGUGGGUUUGGAAAGAUUCGACUGGGUCUGGUUGUUUUGGUGGGGGAUGGGCUCGCGGCCUAUCAGCUGGUUGGGGGGGGGAUGGCCUGCCAAGGCUUUGUCGGGUAGCCGGCGUGAGGGGGUGGGCGGUCACACUAGGAGUGAGACACGGCCCAGACUGCUACGGGGGGCAGCAGUGGAGAAUAGUGCACAGUGGGCGCGAGCCUGAUGGAGCGACGGCGCGUGAGGGGUGGAGGCCUUGGGGUUGUGAACCUCUUUCGCCAGUGAAGGAGGUCCUGCUCUUUGUGGUGGGGUUGACGGUAGCUGGGUUGAUGAAGCGCCGGCUAACUACGUG